Molecule: ribosomal RNA, 253 nt
Filed under: uncultured bacterium
Lineage: Bacteria
Description: partial 16S ribosomal RNA
Rfam family: Bacterial small subunit ribosomal RNA
Source: RNAcentral
UACGAAGGGGGCUAGCGUUGCUCGGAAUCACUGGGCGUAAAGGGUGCGUAGGCGGGGCUUUAAGUCAGGGGUGAAAUCCUGGAGCUCAACUCCAGAACUGCCUUUGAUACUGAAGAUCUUGAGUUCGGGAGAGGUGAGUGGAACUGCGAGUGUAGAGGUGAAAUUCGUAGAUAUUCGCAAGAACACCAGUGGCGAAGGCGGCUCACUGGCCCGAUACUGACGCUAAGGCACGAAAGCGUGGGGAGCAAACAGG